GUGGCUAUGGUGUAGAGGCAACACAGCGGGUUGUGGUCCCGUUAUCAUGGGUUCGAUUCCCAUUAGCCACCCCA
RNAcentral lists this transfer RNA (74 nucleotides) under Candidatus Uhrbacteria bacterium. RNAcentral's name for it is "tRNA-His". It matches the Rfam family "tRNA". From Rfam's summary of the family: Transfer RNA (tRNA) molecules are approximately 80 nucleotides in length. Their secondary structure includes four short double-helical elements and three loops (D, anti-codon, and T loops). Further hydrogen bonds mediate the characteristic L-shaped molecular structure. tRNAs have two regions of fundamental functional importance: the anti-codon, which is responsible for specific mRNA codon recognition, and the 3' end, to which the tRNAs corresponding amino acid is attached (by aminoacyl-tRNA synthetases). tRNAs cope with the degeneracy of the genetic code in two manners: having more than one tRNA (with a specific anti-codon) for a particular amino acid; and 'wobble' base-pairing, i.e. permitting non-standard base-pairing at the 3rd anti-codon position. The record is from RNAcentral. Lineage: Bacteria; Candidatus Uhriibacteriota.